Long non-coding RNA from Papaver somniferum (opium poppy), 2494 nucleotides. RefSeq lists it as uncharacterized. NCBI's taxonomy places the organism in Eukaryota, Viridiplantae, Streptophyta, Magnoliopsida, Ranunculales, Papaveraceae. The record is from RefSeq and is a predicted model, not a curated record. The transcript has 3 exons.
AUUUCACUUUUUUUUAGAUUUCUACUUCUUUUCUCCCAUUCUUUCAUCGUCCCCAAAUCGACACAAUCGAACCAUUAACAACCCAACCCCAGGGAAAGAACAGAAGCGGAGAUACAGAUUAGUAACUUUUGUUUCAAUGGAUAUUCAUUGAAUGGAAUGAAUUUCGAACGGGUUUUUAUUGAAUUCAACCUUUAAUUUUUGAAUGAGUUUACAUGAAAUGAAGAUUUAAUUGAUUAAUUUUGAUACGAAGCUUCAGUUAUACUGUCAGUUUUUCAGCAAAUGGCUAAUACUAUAAUUUGUGGACUUAACUGUUUGCUAAUUUUCCUGAUAGAAGAAACACAUUUAAAGUUCAAUUACAAUGAUAAGGUUACAUGCAAUAUGUAAGCAGUGCAUAUGUUAUAGAAGUGUAAGUUUUCCUGAUAGAAGAUGCAUGUUUAAGCUCAAUUACAAACCAAAAUUCACAUGCAGUAAGUAAGCAGUGUAAUGUGCUUGAAACAUCAUCAAUAGAUCUGUAUAGCAAAAACGUAUCCGUAAUGUAUCCAUAAGUAAGAAUAAUGGUCAUCUUUGAUUGAGUUGUCUUUGUGAUUUGUAGCAGGGAUCUGUGCUUAUUAUAGAAGCCGCUCAAGGUCCUAUUUGCUGGGGAUCGUAUUAGCGAAGCUGAAUCUGAACUGUCUAUGGGGGGACAAUAUAAUCAGCAAUCAGGUGGAGCUUGCUAUCAAGUGGUGACUCGCAGGACUAGCAUAGUCUAUGAAUGGUUGUAGUAGUUAUAAUGGCAGUGGUGGUCGACGUGGACGUGUGUCUAGGCACUCGGAUUACUGGGUGUUAGUUUAUGCAAGGUUAUGCCCAGUUGCGUCAAUAACAUUUUAUUGGUGUUGGUGGAAAAGCAAUACACGGUAAACUAAAGCCUCGAAAGUUCACUAGAUGCCUCAAAGGUUACAUGAAAACUUGGAAUUCAAGUCACUUUAAUAAUGCAAUCUCUGUAGUCUGGGAUUGUACUUCGAGAUUUGUUAUCUGAAAAUGAGUAAAAAGUAGAAGUCUCGUUGGAUGGAUGAGGUCUAUUGCUGGAAAAAAUAAUGUUUUCUUGCAAAUGCUUCUUUUGAAGUUACUGAACAGUGAAUGUUAUAUGCUACCAAAGAACUAUAACAUUGAGCAUCUUUGACUUACCUACAAAUGCUACCAUGAUUACAUCAGUGAGCAUCUUUGACUUACCUACAAAUGAUACCAUGAUUACAUCAGUGAUCAGUCUAAACGGUCAAUUAAAGACCUGUCUUAUAAAGUACUCGGUUUAGUUGUCAUUUUAUGAGUCAGUUACUGGGAUGUUCCAUGUGGCACUAGAGUGAAAGUUUUGGCAAAACGUUUGUUAUUGAUUCCUCACACAAGGUGGACUGUUUAUUUUAUAAGAUAGAUAGAUUGGACUACAGUGAUGUAGAUACAUGUAGAUUAUGAAUAAAGUGAUCCCUAAUGGCUAACAUCCUAACACUGCCUACAGCAAGCUAUUGAUUGGACUACAAUGCUCUGAAAGGGAACGGCACUCGCAUCGCGCGUGCUUUUUUGCUAGAGGGUUACCAAUUGUUUACAUCGCGAGUGCUCAUCCAGCACUAGAAUGCACCUUAGAACAGGUAGAAGAGGUGAAAAUCAUCUUCAGAGUCCUUCCAAUCUUUGCUUGUACAAUCAUGCUCAAUUGUUGUUUACCGCAACUUUCAGCGGCCACCAUGAACACUAAGCUUGGCUCCUUCACUCUCCCACCGGCUCCCCUUCCUGUGUUCCCCGUUCUCUUCAUCAUGCUCCUCGCACCACUUUACAAUCAUGUAAUUGUUCCAUUUGCAAGAAAAAUGACCAAAACAGAGAUGGGCGUUUCUCAUCUACAGCAUAUCGGUAUAGGGUUGUUUUUGUCUAUAGUCGCAAUGGCGGUGGCAGCUUUAGUUGUCAAUGGCGGUGGCAGCUUUAGUUGUCUAUGUCUAUAGUCGCAAUGGCGGUGGCAGCUUUAGUUGUCAAGCGAAAACGAGUGGCAACCCAUUCAGGUUUGCUGAACUCUGACGAGCCACUGCCCAUCACUUUCUUCUGGGUGGCUUUGCAGUUCUUGUUUCUUGUUCAGCUGACCUGUUUACCUUGGCUGGAUUACUUGAAUUUUUCUCCGCUGAAGCUCCUGCAAGUAUGAGAUCAUUGGCUACAGCCCUAACAUGGGAUUCAUUGGCAAUGGGAUAUUACAUGAGUUCUUGACUCGCUUCAACAGUGAGCAGUGUUACAGGGGGGAUGGGAAACACAAGGUGGCUCUCCGGUACCAACUUGAAUCACUACCACCUCCAGAGAUUUUACUGUCUCAUGUGUGUUUCAAGGGGUCUAAAUUUCGUGCACUAUCUCUUCUGGGCGAACCGCUACAAAUACAGAUCGACACAACAGGGUACAUAAAUGAAGCUUUCUAAUGUCAAAAGAAAUAGAAUUUAAGCUGUACUUACCUUUUCAAUCAUGGAUGCUGCCUCCAGAGUCCUCGGAA